Molecule: ribosomal RNA, 253 nt
Filed under: uncultured bacterium
Lineage: Bacteria
Description: partial 16S ribosomal RNA
Rfam family: Bacterial small subunit ribosomal RNA
Source: RNAcentral
UACGUAGGCAGCAAGCGUUGUUCGGAGUUACUGGGCGUAAAGGGUGCGUAGGCGGCCCUGUAAGUCUGGUGUGAAAUCUCCCGGCUUAACUGGGCGGGGGCCUUCCAGACGGCGUGGCUUGAGCAGCGGAGGGGGACGUGGAAUUCCGGGUGGAGCGGUGAAAUGCGUAGAGAUCCGGAGGAACACCGACGGCGCAGGCAGCGUCCUGGCCGCUUGCUGACACUGAGGCACGAAAGCUGGGGGAGCAAACAGG